UUAAAUUGAAGAGUUUGAUCAUGGCUCAGAUUGAACGCUGGCGGCAGGCCUAACACAUGCAAGUCGAACGGUAACAGAAAGCAGCUUGCUGCUUUGCUGACGAGUGGCGGACGGGUGAGUAAUGUCUGGGAAACUGCCUGAUGGAGGGGGAUAACUACUGGAAACGGUAGCUAAUACCGCAUAACGUCGCAAGACCAAAGAGGGGGACCUUCGGGCCUCUUGCCAUCGGAUGUGCCCAGAUGGGAUUAGCUUGUUGGUGGGGUAACGGCUCACCAAGGCGACGAUCCCUAGCUGGUCUGAGAGGAUGACCAGCCACACUGGAACUGAGACACGGUCCAGA
Molecule: ribosomal RNA, 340 nt
Filed under: Escherichia coli
Lineage: Bacteria; Pseudomonadati; Pseudomonadota; Gammaproteobacteria; Enterobacterales; Enterobacteriaceae
Description: bacterial SSU rRNA
Rfam family: Bacterial small subunit ribosomal RNA
Source: RNAcentral